Molecule: ribosomal RNA, 238 nt
Filed under: uncultured bacterium
Lineage: Bacteria
Description: partial 16S ribosomal RNA
Rfam family: Bacterial small subunit ribosomal RNA
Source: RNAcentral
UGGCGGACGGGUGGGUAACGCGUGGGUAACCUUCCUUGUACUGGGGGACAACAGUUAGAAAUGACUGCUAAUACCGCAUAAGCGCACAGUAUCGCAUGAUACAGUGUGAAAAACUCCGGUGGUACAAGAUGGACCCGCGUCUGAUUAGCUAGUUGGUAAGGUAACGGCUUACCAAGGCGACGAUCAGUAGCCGACCUGAGAGGGUGACCGGCCACAUUGGGACUGAGACACGGCCCAA